AACGAACGCUGGCGGCAUGCCUAACACAUGCAAGUCGAACGAGACCUUCGGGUCUAGUGGCGCACGGGUGCGUAACGCGUGGGAAUCUGCCCUUGGGUUCGGAACAACAGUUGGAAACGA
Molecule: ribosomal RNA, 120 nt
Filed under: uncultured bacterium
Lineage: Bacteria
Description: partial 16S ribosomal RNA
Rfam family: Bacterial small subunit ribosomal RNA
Source: RNAcentral